This 571-nucleotide ribosomal RNA is filed under the name uncultured bacterium. Its description in RNAcentral is "partial 16S ribosomal RNA". It matches the Rfam family "Bacterial small subunit ribosomal RNA", at positions 355 to 918 of the family's 1533-position model. The record is from RNAcentral.
UGGGGAAUUUUGGACAAUGGGCGAAAGCCUGAUCCAGCAAUGCCGCGUGUGUGAAGAAGGCCUUCGGGUUGUAAAGCACUUUUGUCCGGAAAGAAAUCCUUGGCUCUAAUACAGUCGGGGGAUGACGGUACCGGAAGAAUAAGCACCGGCUAACUACGUGCCAGCAGCCGCGGUAAUACGUAGGGUGCAAGCGUUAAUCGGAAUUACUGGGCGUAAAGCGUGCGCAGGCGGUUUGCUAAGACCGAUGUGAAAUCCCCGGGCUCAACCUGGGAACUGCAUUGGUGACUGGCAGGCUAGAGUAUGGCAGAGGGGGGUAGAAUUCCACGUGUAGCAGUGAAAUGCGUAGAGAUGUGGAGGAAUACCGAUGGCGAAGGCAGCCCCCUGGGCCAAUACUGACGCUCAUGCACGAAAGCGUGGGGAGCAAACAGGAUUAGAUACCCUGGUAGUCCACGCCCUAAACGAUGUCAACUAGUUGUUGGGGAUUCAUUUUCCUUAGUAACGUAGCUAACGCGUGAAGUUGACCGCCUGGGGAGUACGGUCGCAAGAUUAAAACUUAAAUGAAUUGACGGGG